This 265-nucleotide ribosomal RNA is filed under the name uncultured bacterium. Its description in RNAcentral is "partial 16S ribosomal RNA". It matches the Rfam family "Bacterial small subunit ribosomal RNA", at positions 793 to 1055 of the family's 1533-position model. The record is from RNAcentral.
GUCCACGCCCUAAACGAUGAUGACUAGUUGUUGGAGGAGUUAAAUCCUUUAGUAACGCAGCUAACGCGUGAAGUCAUCCGCCUGGGUAGUACGGUCGCAAGAUUAAAACUCAAAGGAAUUGACGGGGGCCCGCACAAGCGGUGGAUGAUGUGGUUUAAUUCGAUGCAACGCGAAAACCUUACCUACCUUUGACAUGCUAGGAACGCUGCAGAAAUGCAGCGGUGCCCGAAAGGGAACCUAGACACAGGUGCUGCAUGGCUGUCGU